Molecule: ribosomal RNA, 257 nt
Filed under: uncultured bacterium
Lineage: Bacteria
Description: partial 16S ribosomal RNA
Rfam family: Bacterial small subunit ribosomal RNA
Source: RNAcentral
UACAGAGGGUGCAAGCGUUGCUCGGAAUCAUUGGGCGUAAAGGGCAGGUAGGUGGUCUGAUUUGUCUGGCGGUGAAAUCCUUGAGCUUAACUCAAGAAGUGCCCCGGAAACGGUCAGACUUACGAGUCUUGGAGAGGGUGGCGGAAUUCUCGGUGUAGCGGUGAAAUGCGUAGAUAUCGAGAGGAACACCUGAGGUGAAGACGGGUUGCUGGGCCGACACUGACGCUGACAGCGCGAAAGCCAGGGGAGCAAACGGG